Long non-coding RNA from Triticum aestivum (bread wheat), 841 nucleotides. RefSeq lists it as uncharacterized. The transcript is spliced from 5 exons. NCBI's taxonomy places the organism in Eukaryota, Viridiplantae, Streptophyta, Magnoliopsida, Poales, Poaceae. The record is from RefSeq and is a predicted model, not a curated record.
UUGACCAUCUUCUCCGAGGCACACAACCUCAAGCUCGAGUUGCAGAUUAGCUAUUGACUAUUUCAACUUUCUCUAGUAUAUUGUGUCAAUAGUGUUACUUAAGGUAACUCCAAUUCCUGAAUUUUGUUAGCAGGAUUGCAUUGACUUUCCUGAUGACAUGUUAAGAAAUUAUCUGCCACCAAUCUCCUUUGAUGGCCAUGGCUGAUACUGUUCGAUGGUCAACUUUACCACAUAUUGCGGAUGGGUUAGCCAGAGAUGGUUUUCACUGUUUCCAUGCUCAAGGCGAUCAACUUGGAGACUAUUUAAUUAAGUAGUUGUACUGGUUCUAAUGGGACAUCUUCAAGCUCAAGUUACUGAACCUAAUUAUUUUGAAGCUGGAUGGGACCAUACAUUACAACCUUUCUCCCAUUGAAACUUGGAAAAGUACGAGGUGGUUCCAGAACACGGAGAUACAUUUUAGUCAUCUUGCAACGCGCAGGGUAUCAUCUAGUUAUAUAAACGUGGGGAACUGAUGUGGAAGCAGAGGUCGCGGCUCGAGUGGUUACGAGCUGACGAUUCUACUUGGACAUGUUGAACACUCAAGCUAACUUGCACCGCAAGACUGUUAUCAACUCUGCAUGUCGCCCACGUUGCAAUACUGCUCAGGAGGACUGCGCAUACCUGUUCUUCUCUGGCCCCGCCUCGACUAUAUGGGCAGCGAUCGGUCUUCAGCCUUGCUCCUUGCCUCUCACUGAGUUGUGGAACAGGCCAUGCCACCCUAGCCUCCCGCGGGCUGUCUGGCCCUUUAUCCUGCUGCUAGUACUAUGGAAAACUAGAUCAUGGAUGGCGCGCGUUGCUGCGC